UCUGGUGACAAUGGCAAGGAGGUCACACCUGUUCCCAUGCCGAACACAGAAGUUAAGCUCCUUAGCGCCGAUGGUAGUCGGACUGACGUUCCUGUCUCUUGUACACAUCACCGAGC
This 116-nucleotide ribosomal RNA is filed under the name Staphylococcus epidermidis. Lineage: Bacteria; Bacillati; Bacillota; Bacilli; Caryophanales; Staphylococcaceae. The record is from RNAcentral.